AAAUGCAAUCAGUAUGUAUUUGUUACCUCUGACAUAAACUGUAUUAUUAUUUUGAAAUCACAGCUUUUCUUUAGAGCAGUCAUCUUUCUGUCAUCUGAGAAAGCUUAUCUGAAACAGAUGGGAAAUAGCCUCUGGCUUUUCAGAGCUUUGCUUUUUUUUUUUUUUUAAUUUUAUUUCUUAGGUGUAGAACUAAACAGUCUGCUUUUAAUUUGUUAGAAACAAGACGGAAUAGCAUGACUUCUGCGUAUGGCCUGUCCUUAAGUAAGAACUCUUCUUUGGCUGUCCUGAAGCUUUUCAGUCCUCUCUACAGACCACAAUCCAUUUGACACUGUGUUACAUAAACUGCAGACCAUGGAGGGAAGAGGCACAAAAAGGGAAUACUUAUUUCUCUGUGAUAGUUUUCAGCACAUUUGCAGUUGUCAGCAUCUUACCUUCCUUUUAUCCUUUUUUCCCUGGAAAAACCUUUUUGGCAGGUGGGGCAUUUAUCAAAGAACAAGAAAGGCAAUACCCAGACAAUUAGAUCAAUUACAACUAGUUGGACCAGAUUGUAUGUAAAUUAAGUAGUAACACAGUGAAGUAAUAACCUUUCCAAAUGACUGAUAAUAACACUUAAAAAUUCUUGGAACAGCCCUGCUGACUGAAGAGAGGUAAAUCAAACUCAAAAACAGAAGACGACCAGCAUGGCAAAUAGUGUCCAGUCAAUCACAUUUAUUUUCUCAGGAAAAUGUUUCCAUUAAUGCAAAUGUAGGUAUAAUUUAAUAUUGAAAACUUCCAGAAGAGUAAAAAGUAAAUAAAGGACAAACUGUACCAGGAAAAUAUGACCCGCUGAUUUGACAGCAUUACAGAAAUAGUCAGAUUAAGAAAACAUUCCAUUUGAAUGGCCAUUACUUAGGAGUUAUCUGAUUCAUAGUUUGUUUUUGUUUUGUUUUUCUUUCAUAGCAUUUGGGUCAAAAGGGAUCACUGGAAAAUCCAGAGCAUUCUCCUGUUUGCGAAAAGACUUUACAUUUCACCCAAAAGCUGAUGUGUAAAGCCCUUUUUUUUUUUCCCAAUUGCAUUCUCUGUGUUUGGCUGAUGUGUAUCUGGACCAUCUUUCUUACAGGGAAAGGCUGAGACAGCUGCGUCUAUUUAGCCUGGAGAAGAGAAGGCUGAGAGCGGAUCUUAUGAAUGCUUAUAAAUAUCUUCAGAGCGGGUGUCAAGAAGACAGGGCCAGACUCUUCAGGGUUGCACAAUGAUAGGAUAAGGAGCAAUGGUCACAAACUGAAACGCAAGAAGUUGCAUCUGAAUAUGAGGAGAAACUUCUUUAUGUUGAGGAUGGCAUAAGACUGGAACAGAGAGGUUGUGGAAUCUUUGGGCACAGUUCUGUGCAACCUGCUCUAGGUGAACCUGCUUUAGCAGUGGGGGUGGACUAGAUCAUCUGCAGAGGUGCCUUCCAACCCCAACCAUUCUGUGGUUCUGUGAUUCUGAGAUUCUGUAUUCAGAAUUGCAUUCAUUCUUGAGCUGAAGAACAAAGAGAGGGUAAUUCUGUCAACCACCUUGGGAAUUCACCUCAAUGGUUUGUCAUUUUCACUCAAAAAUAUCUUCAGUGAUUUUUUGACUUUGACUUUCAUUGAUGAUGCAACAUAAUUAGAUUUGUAAUAAGGCACUUACUAAAGCAUUUAAUACUGGAAUAAUUUUAUUUAGAAGUGGUUUAGAGAAUCAUUAGAGUUCUUGAUAAACACUGAGAUGUUGAUGUUUGUUAGGAAAGGCUUGUUUCUGCCAUUUAUUUAUUUAUUUAUUUAUUUAUUUAUUGUUUCCAAACAAAUCUUGUAAAAUAUGGUUCAAUGUCUCCUUUUCUUUUCACACCCUCCUUUGAAUGCUAGUCUCAGGAUACACUUCAACAGAUUUCACGAGCCAUUUGCAAAGUGCAAGUCUGAGGCAAUACCUUUGCUCUGUGCUCUAUUUGGACAAGAAUUUAUGAAAAAGAGGGGGAAGGGAAGAGGUGGAAGAUGAGAUGCUGUGCCCAAAAUUGUACAAAUUCACCACACAAGGAUCCGUAUUUUCUUAUUGUGGCUGCUCAGAAUCCAGCUACAUAUCUAUGCUGUUGUGUGCCAGUUACAGAAAGAGAAGUCCAUGAGAUUAUCUGAGCUAUACUGUUUCAAGCAAACAUAAGCUUUUAUGCUAUUCUGUGUCAAAUGUUAUUUGCAGCAUUUGGGAGUUAAGAUGCAUAAUAUGUUAUAUUUCUCAUAUAUCAGAGAAAUUUCUUCUCAUUCAUUUUCUGUACCUAGAUGGCCAAAUCUCUCAGUUUGUUUGAUUGACAAAUCUCUAGAUGUUUCUACGUACCAAUAGAAAAUAUUUUAUAUAAAAUAACGAAGAAAAAACUUCUAUUUUCAGUAUGUGGCAGUUUUUCACCAAAUAUCCAAAAAUAUACCAAAAUGUGUGAAGGAUAAUAAUCCAUUUAGUAUGUGCCAUUGAAGAUUUAUCUUCACUUAUGCUGGACUCUCUUUCACUUCCUUUCUGCAUACAGUCCUGUUUUGUCAUAAAAAAUUAGUAAAACUUGAUAAAAAUAUUGGAGAAUUUUUAUUUUUUUGUGUUUUAACAUCUUUACCUAGAUUUUCAAAGUUUGUUGUUGUUGUUGUUGUUGUUGUUGUUGGGUUGUUUGUUUGUUCAUUGUUUUAUUUUUAUUUUCUUUUCUUUUGGUCCAGAAAAUAUCUCUAAACUCUCCCUAUAUAUUUCUUCUGCUUCUAUAUUCAUUUGCUCCACUUCAAAUCAUUACAGAAUUUUCACUGGUGUUACAUUCAGCAGCAACAGUAGUAACAUCCCUGUUCAGGGUUAUUUCCCUAAGGUUUCCUUUCUAAAAGGAAUUUUGGACUUUCUAUACUACUUAAUAAAGGUUCUUUGAGCAUCAAAUUUAUUCUUCUGGAACAUGGCCAGGAGAAAAUAGGCAUUGGUUUCUUUGAAAAAGAGAUCCAAGUUACUUUUAACAAGCUGAUUUUGAAAGGCAGCCGAUUACAGGUACUUGUAACCCAUUUUUUGCCACAUCCUACUCCAAAGUAUGCUUCAAAUGAAGUCUGUCUGAAAGAUUACAGCAAGGAGAAAUGUGUGAGAUUAAAUGGAUAACACUGAAGCGAACAUUCAAGGCCAAAUUAGGAACAGUUGAAAGGCACAAGUUUCAUAAGGUCACUGAAGUUCCAGUAAUGAGCUUAAAAAACCUGCUAAGAUUAAUGAAAUUUGCCAGACCUCCAGCUAAACUCCUUCUUUCCAGACUACCUAAUAACACCCACACAUUACUGGAGAGCAACACCUCAGAAUAAUUCCACAUGUGUCUCUGGGUAGCAGCUUGGAUCUCAUAAAUCUCCUUGUUUCAGCUGUUUCAGCACUCCUGCUGAAGACCUUAGCGGAUCCAGAAGAACAUGCAAAUUUUCUAAUGUAAGCACAUGACAUUUUCAGCACUGUAAUGACCUCCUGUUUGUCCUCCUACAAGAAUCUCUUCCAGCACAUGGCAGGACUGGUCUGGGACAUUCCUGUUUCAUAGCCCCAAAUCAGGAUAUCAGAAAUAAAACAUGAGGGCCACGCUCCUGACCUACUGCAGCCUACAAUCUGCCCUUCCUUAGCACGCAGUGCCCAUCAUCCCAGCUGUGCCACUGAUAGACUCCCUGCUGGUCCACUUCAGUGAACAGUUUCUGUCUCUUAGUAUAAAUAAUAUGUUCUGAUAUAUAUAGCCGCAAUUGUAAAUUUACCUUGCAAUGCGGUAAACACUUUGUCACAUUAUAAUUUUCCUUGAAAUCUAUCAUGAAUUAACUCUAUUCCUGUGUACUUUGUGAUGUCCCUAAAGACAUUUCAUUCUUAUGGAAAUUCUCUACACAUUUUUAAUAAGAAAAUGUAGGGUUUCCUUUGAAUUGUUUUGUAGCAUCAAUAAUAUGUAUGCCCUUUCCUUCUUAGUGCUAAGCACACAGCCAAGUAAUCAAAACUCCUAUCAAAAGGUCCUGAAGUAACUGCAUGUACUAGUAUUUGUGCUGCUUUGAUUAAAGAUCAGAUCAGUGGGCUAGUGUUCAAAUAAUUUGAUUAUGGUUUCUAGAAAAAAAGUAAUUGCAGUGGAAGCACAAUUAAAAUUUUUGAAGGCAAAAAUCAACAUUAACUUAAUUAUUUGAACAUUUAUAUACCUGAACACAUAGUAACCACUGAAAGUGCUUAUCACCUUGUGGAAUAAAUAAUACUAUCACACUCACUGUAAUAGUGUAAGCUGUCAUUUUCAGGAUGGUUAGUCAGGUAGAUAUAAAUGAACUUUGGAACUUAACUGAUGAAUCUGAGACUACAAUCUUAAAGAAUAUCUUCUAUAACUUUCAUUUUACAUUUCAUGACAUACAUGGCUCCCAUUCCCCUUAGCUCAUGAGCAUAUCUUGUCUCUCAUUUUACCUUCAUUUACUUAUUAACCCCAGUAAACAGAACAGGAACUAAGAAAAAUGUGACAUGCCUUAAAUCACACAGGAACAUUGUAAAAACUGGAAAGCAAAGCUUUGAGUCCACAAUGGUUAAGCAGACAGAAAAAACACAUAUCAUCUGUAUCCAGCAACUAUUCGGUUACUAUCAUAAGCAUAUGGUGACUCAAAGCAGAAUGAAAAGGCAGUGCAGAAAGAUAACACAGGUUGACUAGGCUAAAUGUGAAAGACUGUGUUUG
Long non-coding RNA from Columba livia (rock pigeon), 4654 nucleotides. RefSeq lists it as uncharacterized. Lineage: Eukaryota; Metazoa; Chordata; Aves; Columbiformes; Columbidae. The transcript is spliced from 3 exons. The record is from RefSeq and is a predicted model, not a curated record.